UGGGUGGCGAGUGGCGGACGGGUGAGGAAUACAUCGGAAUCUACUCUGUCGUGGGGGAUAACGUAGGGAAACUUACGCUAAUACCGCAUACGACCUACGGGUGAAAGCAGGGGAUCUUCGGACCUUGCGCGAUUGAAUGAGCCGAUGUCGGAUUAGCUAGUUGGCGGGGUAAAGGCCCACCAAGGCGACGAUCCGUAGCUGGUCUGAGAGGAUGAUCAGCCACACUGGAACUGAGACACGGUCCAGACUCCUACGGGAGGCAGCAGUGGGGAAUAUUGGACAAUGGGCGCAAGCCUGAUCCAGCCAUACCGCGUGGGUGAAGAAGGCCUUCGGGUUGUAAAGCCCUUUUGUUGGGAAAGAAAUCCAGCUGGCUAAUACCUGGUUGGGAUGACGGUACCCAAAGAAUAAGCACCGGCUAACUUCGUGCCAGCAGCCGCGGUAAUACGAAGGGUGCAAGCGUUACUCGGAAUUACUGGGCGUAAAGCGUGCGUAGGUGGUCGUUUAAGUCCGUUGUGAAAGCCCUGGGCUCAACCUGGGAACUGCAGUGGAUACUGGGCGACUAGAGUGUGGUAGAGGGUAGCGGAAUUCCUGGUGUAGCAGUGAAAUGCGUAGAGAUCAGGAGGAACAUCCAUGGCGAAGGCAGCUACCUGGACCAACA
Molecule: ribosomal RNA, 658 nt
Filed under: Pseudomonas sp.
Lineage: Bacteria; Pseudomonadati; Pseudomonadota; Gammaproteobacteria; Pseudomonadales; Pseudomonadaceae
Description: bacterial SSU rRNA
Rfam family: Bacterial small subunit ribosomal RNA
Source: RNAcentral